This 671-nucleotide ribosomal RNA is filed under the name Alteromonas macleodii. RNAcentral's name for it is "bacterial SSU rRNA". It matches the Rfam family "Bacterial small subunit ribosomal RNA", at positions 80 to 754 of the family's 1533-position model. The record is from RNAcentral. Lineage: Bacteria; Pseudomonadati; Pseudomonadota; Gammaproteobacteria; Alteromonadales; Alteromonadaceae.
CUAGAAGAUGACGAGUGGCGGACGGGUGAGUAAUGCUUGGGAACUUGCCUUUGCGAGGGGGAUAACAGUUGGAAACGACUGCUAAUACCGCAUAAUGUCUUCGGACCAAACGGGGCUUCGGCUCCGGCGCAAAGAGAGGCCCAAGUGAGAUUAGCUAGUUGGUAAGGUAACGGCUUACCAAGGCGACGAUCUCUAGCUGUUCUGAGAGGAAGAUCAGCCACACUGGGACUGAGACACGGCCCAGACUCCUACGGGAGGCAGCAGUGGGGAAUAUUGCACAAUGGGGGAAACCCUGAUGCAGCCAUGCCGCGUGUGUGAAGAAGGCCUUCGGGUUGUAAAGCACUUUCAGUUGUGAGGAAAAGUUAGUAGUUAAUACCUGCUAGCCGUGACGUUAACAACAGAAGAAGCACCGGCUAACUCCGUGCCAGCAGCCGCGGUAAUACGGAGGGUGCGAGCGUUAAUCGGAAUUACUGGGCGUAAAGCGCACGCAGGCGGUUUGUUAAGCUAGAUGUGAAAGCCCCGGGCUCAACCUGGGAUGGUCAUUUAGAACUGGCAGACUAGAGUCUUGGAGAGGGGAGUGGAAUUCCAGGUGUAGCGGUGAAAUGCGUAGAUAUCUGGAGGAACAUCAGUGGCGAAGGCGACUCCCUGGCCAAAGACUGACGCUCAUGUGC